This 327-nucleotide ribosomal RNA is filed under the name uncultured eukaryote. Its description in RNAcentral is "partial 18S ribosomal RNA". It matches the Rfam family "Eukaryotic small subunit ribosomal RNA", at positions 1470 to 1796 of the family's 1831-position model. The record is from RNAcentral.
CCCUUAGAUGUUCUGGGCUGCACGCGCGCUACACUGAUGCAUCCAACAAGUUUUUUCCUUGUUCGAGAGGACUAGGUAAUCUUAUGAGAAUGCAUCGUGAUGGGGAUAGAUUAUUGCAAUUAUUAAUCUUCAACGAGGAAUUCCUAGUAAGCGCGAGUCAUCAGCUCGUGCUGAUUACGUCCCUGCCCUUUGUACACACCGCCCGUCGCUACUACUGAUUGGAUGUUUAAGCGAGGUUCUCGAACUGCUAGCGACUUAGCUUCGGUGAGGUCGCAGUGUGGGAAGUGAACCUAGCUUUGGUGUCUAGAGGAAGUAAAAGUCGUAACA